Molecule: long non-coding RNA, 13961 nt
Filed under: Capsicum annuum
Lineage: Eukaryota; Viridiplantae; Streptophyta; Magnoliopsida; Solanales; Solanaceae
Description: long non-coding RNA (CANN_LNC004164)
Source: RNAcentral
CUCAUGAGACCCCCUCCCCCUACCUAGCUUUCUUUACAUGUUUUUGCCAAUUCUAUAUAUACAAAAUUCCAAAAAAGGGGGGGGGGGGGGGGGGGCACUCACAGAUUCUCUCACAGGAAAUUCCACUCACACCUUCUACAAUAUACCAUCACAUAUAUACACCAUAGGCAUAUAAACAGCUUUGGAUAAAAGAGAACCCUCUUAGAAUAACAAUUGACAACACUCAUCCUCACAACACAUAACAAGAUACACAUAUAAACAAACCAAAACUUCAUCAUCUUGAUCAUUUUCCUUUUUCUUGUUUGAAUCCUAUCAGAUGCACCAAAAAAUGGCACACACCAGUCAAAAUAUUUGAGAGAGAGAGUCCUAAAGAGAGAGAGAGCAAUGGAGAAAGAGAGAGAACAAGAUCGAGGUAGGAGAGAUUUGAGAAAAAUAGAGAUCAGGAAGGAAGAUAUUAGAGAAAAAACAAGGAAGAAAUGUGCGAAAGGAAAUUUGGAUGAGUUUUCACCGGAAAACUUCGUCGCCGCUAGUCGCGUUCUUGAUUCCAGCUACCGCUAAGCUUGUCGGAGCUCCGGUGAAGCUGUUAGUCCUAUACCAUCCCAAAACGUUGAAACAACAACAAAAAAAUAGUCGGUUAAUCGAUCCCAACUCCAAAAACUCAUUGAAAAAACCAUCGAGUUUGGGUAGAACAAAUCUCGGGGUUGAAAUCUCCAAUUUGAGGUGAUAUUUGACUCAAUUUUGGCCGUUUGGUUGAGGUUCAAUGAGGUCCAUUUCAUGAUAGAGGAACCUGAGGUCAAAACAGUCCGUAAAUUUCAAUUUGAAUCGUUGGUCUUUUGGGUAUGUUUGUUUCUUUAGGUUUGUUUGAGUUGUCGGGUCCAUGUUGAGUUCGUUGAAUCGAGGUCUUGAUUCGUGAGCUCCGAAUCCAUUGCUAAGUGUUUGGAAUAAAAUUAAGGUCUAUUUCUCAUCCCAUUUUUUUAUUAAUCUUUAUCGUUUGAUGCCUUAUGUGGUGAAUUGAUAAUGUGUGGAACUUGCUUUAUUUGAUUUGGUGUUGUUCGGACCAUGAAUGUUGAUUAAUUGGUCACUUGAAUUGGUUAAUUGGUUGAUAAUGACUUGAAUUCGUUUGAGGUAAAUGAAAUUGGGACGGGAGUUGAAAGUUGAUAAAGUGCAUAUUGUCGUUUUGAUUCAUUAAUGUUAAUUGAACUUGAUAGUAUCAUGAUAAGUCGAUUGGUUUAGGCAAACAUAGGUUGGGUAGGCAAAGCUUAAAAUUUGUGGCUUUGGUUGUUUGUUGAAAAUUCCGUGGAAUGUUUGAAAUUUUAUUGAAUAGUUUGAUUUUCUCGCACUAAAAAUGUAUUCAUUUGGCCGGGGAAUGCCUCGGGGAAUUUGUAUUGAUUUAUCCGGGGAAUGCCCUGAAGUAUCUUGUACCCGUAGGACGUUCAUGAAGAAGGCCCGAGGCAGCGGGUGGAGCUUAGUUUAGGAUUAGUUUAGAAUAGAAUAGGUUUACAUUUUCGCAUUUCUCAUUAUUCGGGAUUGUAUAAUUAGACUCAACACUCUAUUUUGAAUUUGUUUUGUUUCGUGUGUUUGAUUGGUUAAUUUAUGUGUUUUGUGUGGUUUAUAUAUUUGUAAUAUCAAAUUAGCCAAUGUGCUCACCAAGCGACCAUGGUCAAACCACGGGAUUGAGGGGUGCCUAACACCUUCCCUUCGGUCAACAGAAUUCCUUAGCCGGAAUCUCUGUUCGCAAACUAGUUUUUUAAAGAGUCAAAUCAUUUCGAAAAGGAUUUUUCAAAGGUGACUUGGCACACCGAAUUAUGUCAAGUGGCGACUCUAAGUUUAAAUAUAAAUAAUUCUUUUUCGAAAUAAAUUUUCAUCUUUUGUCACUCAAUAAUAAAAAACCCUUUUCGAACUUGAAAUUCAAUCUUUUUGGUAAAAAAAAGGGGGGUGUGACAGCUCUGGCGACUCUGCUGGGGACUUUUCAGAAUUCGAGCUUAUUUUGGAGUUGUAUCGGCUUAGUUUUGCACUAUAGGUGUAUAGACAUUUUGUUUGUGUUGUUUUGUGUUAUUGUUUAUCAUUGUUGAGUGCCUACAUGCUCUUUGUUUACAGUUUUUUACUUUGUGUUACCGCUUUAUAUCUGGCAUCAUGUGCAUAACCCAAGUCUUUCUUUCUGCAACAAGUCCAUAGUAUACGUGUGUACAUGACCUAUAGUUGAGUCACCCUUAUUUUAGGAGAGAGAGCCAUUGGGUUGUAUGGAGUAGGUGGACAGCUAAAGCAAUCCACUAUCGACCAUACGCUCCCCCGAACAGCCUUGUUAGUGGAUCCCAACGUAGGUCAGCCUUUAAGUCAUUUUUAUCUAUAUCAUAUUGAGACCUAGCGGGACCCAUGUGACCCUUUGUAGAAGACUCACCACUAAAGCAUUCCUAUGUGCUAAAUGCUGCAUCUUUGAGGGUAAUGUGGUCAUUUGACGGACUGAUUAGGGGAAAGCAUAUGUUAGAAGUAAAGUGCGUAGGCAAGAAAUGUUGAAAAAAAUAGAAAAAAGGUGAGUUGAAAAGAAAAAAAAGAGUUUCGUAUGUUUUUAGAGUUCUUUAUGGCUUUUGAUUUUUCUUUCACAAUCCAAAAAUUCAAAAAGAUUUUUUUUUUUACCUUUUGCACUCAUUUUCUCAAAAACAUCAAAAAGAGUUUCCUUUACCAUGCAUUCACAAUUCAAAAAUUCUAAAAAGAUUUUUCAUUCAUAGAAGUUUUUAUAAAAGAAAAAAUCAAAAAAAAUGGAAGAAGUUUUGUACAUUUUAUAUAAUGAAAAUACCAAUUUUUUUUUCUCUUUCAUAGUUGUUGGUGUCAGUUUUGCGUGAAGUGUCUAAUUGAAAACCCAAAAGAUUUUAUUUUCAUCGUCCUUCUGUAAUCACUUCUUUCAAGUCAAGUCUUAGUUUUUUUUAAUCCUUAUUUGUCCAACUUGGACGAACUACGCACCCUUGAUUCUCCUCUUUCAGGAUGUGAGAUACGUAGGCAACCUAUUGUUGGUUCGGGAAUCUUAUUUCAAAAAAUUCAAAAAAUAUUUCCUUCACUCUUUAUUUAGAGUAGGUUUUUCAUAUACAUCUUUAAAAGAAAACUACACAAAGAUUUUCCUUUAAUAAGUUCAAGUUUCAUUUUCACAUGAAAUUCAAAAAUCAAAAAUCCAAAAAGAUUUUUCUUUGAUCAUAGGUUUCAUUUUGUAUAGGGAUGUUAAACUUGAAAAAUUCAAAAAGAUUUUCAUCAAUUAUUUUAACAAUUUGUUAUUUUCUUUUCUUCUUAAAGUUUCAAGAAAAAUAGUUUAAUUGGCCAUUUUGGCAAGACUUCACGAACUAUGCAUACCUGAUUCUCCUCUUUUGGGAAUGAGAUAAAUAGGCGCCCUUAUUGGGUUCAGUGAUCUUUUCUAAAAUAAAAAAAGGUUUUGAAUAAAAAGUGUUGAAUUCUAAUGCCUUUGCUAUCUCUUAUUCAGUUAGUUUAAGGUAGUUGAUUUGUGGUAUUUGGCUGGUCCUCCAUAUUGCACCAAGUGAUACGAGAAUAAUCACGAAAAUAGACUUAUGUGGGUGUACAUUGAAAGCAACCAAGUGUAUGUGAAAAGAGAAGUUUAAUUAAAGGCCCAAAUACACACCAAAACAGCCCACUCCAUACACUAGAGGGGAAACCCAUUCUUGAAGGGCCAUUUUGGUCAUUUUAACUUCUAUUUGUUUUAUAAUAUAUAAGGAACAUGUUAGGGUUUAUUCACUUAGUUUUUGAAUGUUGAAAAUGGUAGAAUACACUUGAAACCCUCAAGUUCUCUCUCUUGUGAGGCUUGGCCGAAACUAGGUUAUAACAUUAAGGUGAAAUCUAUUUUGUUGUUUGUUUUCUUGGAACUUGGGGUACUUGAAGGAUUGAGGUCCUCUCUUGUGUCUCUUUGAAGAGUGUAGGUGUUCCUACUAUCAUCAUUAAGGGUCUUUGCGUGUCAUCUACAAUUAGGUUCUUAGUUAUUAUAGUAGUUUAUGUCUCACUAUCUAUCCCUUUGUCUUUUGUAAUCUUGUAACAUUAUAUCUUGUUAUUGUGGAAUUCGAAUCUGGUUAUUCUUGUUGUCAUCUUGUUAAUCUCGUUAUUGUUGUGUUGUUGGCUGUUUUUGGGUGUCAAAUACACCCUUGUUUCUUGUAUUCUUGUUAUACUUGUCGAAUCUGAGUGAGGUCCCCUUUUGGUCCACGUUCUUUCUUGAAUUUGUGGACUGUUUGGGGUAUGUUUUGUUCUUUCCCUUGUUUGUCUUGUAUCAUUUGGUAUCAAAUCCAUCUUUAGUGUUGUUCUUACAAUACCAAUCUUGGGCUUUCUUGCUAAGAAAAAAAAACUUGGGUGUUCUUGUUGUUCUUUACCUUGAAAGUGUUGUUCUUGUUGUUCAUCUUGGCCGAGGUUGCUUGUAGUGGCUAGAUCUAGUAGUCCUUUGGUGUGUAUUGUUGUUUCUUGUGUUAGUUACGUGAUUCACUAACACUAAAUGGUGUCUAGGUCUAUAUUUGAGCUUGAACUUGUUAAAGUUGUGUUGCUUAAGACAACCAAAAGUGUAAUAUAGAUUCAAAAAGGUGAACCUACAAAUUGUAAAGUUGUUUGUGAGAAGACUUGAGCCAUCACUUCCUUGACUUGACAUCUACUUUUCAACCACUUUUCCUUGUUUCAAGAGAUCUUGUUUUGUGGGAAUUAUACAAAGUCAAGUCUUGCCUUUUGAAGAUUAGACUUAAAUGAGGUUCAAGACAUAUACUUUCCCUCCAAAACCAAUUAUUUCCAUUACAUAGUAACUAAAGUUUGUAAACUUCAACUAGUGACUAAUUGUGGGGCCGUGACCAAUAGUGUGCUGCCACAUCACCCAAGUUACUGUUCACAUGAAAAUUUUAAGCUCAAAUUGUGAUCUUUUAGUUUCAUUUUGUUGUCUCAUUAGUUUCGUUUGUUGAUUCCAAUACUAACUUACAAACUAGUGACAAUUUACUAGAUUGUGAGUUGGUUUUGAAACCAUUUUUUCCGUGUUUACGUUCUUUUGUGUGUUUUUAUUCUUUUGAGCCAUCGUACACACUCGUUUCACCUCUCAACAUCUCACGGAUUACAAGCAUACUUAUAACAAUUGUGAGAUCAAAAGUGAGAAAAUCCGAGGGACAAAGGAUUAAAGAGAGAGUGUGAGGACCAUUCUUUAACAAUUAACUUGUUUAUUGUUUUGUAGGUAACUUCUUGGCUACAAUAGACAACAAUGAUCUUGGUGCUAUCUUGGAAAGACUUGAAACUAUCAACCAAGGAAUGGAAAGUAUGCUCAUGACUAUGUCCUCAAUCCGAGGAGAGAUGUCUACUAUGAAUGAGAGGUUGGAUCAAAUAGAGAGUCGAAGUAACUCUCGUGAUUCUACCCCUCGACUCCAUAUUUCUUCAAGUGGUCAUGACCAAACCCUUCCAUACCAUUUCCCCCGAGACUUUGCCUACAAAAGUCAACCCACUAAGUUCUCCACAAAAUGCCAUGAGCCAAGUUACUAAUUACCCUCAAAAUCGAGAACAAGGUAGAUCACUUCUCCCACAAGUUGAUCAAGUCCCACAAGAAGGAAUUGGAGGCCCAUUCCCUCCCAUCCAAGCUCCACAAACGAAGCUCCACAUUACCAAAAUAUCCCCCACAACCAAAACUCCACUUCUCCAAAAUCGAUAUGUCCAUAUAGAGGAGUAUGGAAGAAAGGGACACGAAGUAUUUGGAGUCUAUGAUGAUGCUUAUAUGAUCGAAAGAGACUUGAGUCGGAUAAGAUUGAAGCCAAGUCUCAAGAUUAAGAGGAAUACGAGGUUCAAAAUGAAGAUGUUGGCUGAGACUUGUUCAUAUUGAGCUCUCGGGUUCUUCAUGUUUUGCGGAUUGUCUUGAGUAUUUUUUUUAAGUGGCCAAUUAAAUAAAGUGAAGCCAUGAAUUUGUGGGCAAAUUCUUCUCAAGAUGGAGAGGAUGACAUGAGAAUAAUCAUGGAAAUAGACUUAUGUGGGUGUGCAUUGAAAGCAACCAAGUGUAUGUGAAAGAGAAGUGUAAUUAAAGGCCCAAAUACACACCAAAACAGCCCACUCCAUACACUAGAGGGGAAACCCAUUCUUGAAGGGCCUUUUUGGUUAUUUUAACUUCUAUUUGUUUUGUAAUAUAUAAGGAACAUGUUAGGGUUUAUUCACUUAUUUUUUGAAUGUUGAAAAUGGUAUAACACGCUUGAAACCCUCAAGUUCUCUCUCUUGUGAGGCUUGAUCGAAACUAGGUUACAGCAUUAGGGUGGAGUCUCUUUUGUUAUUUGUUUGCUUGGAACUUGGGGUGUUUGAAGGAUUGAGGUCCUCUUUUGUGUCUCUUUGAAGAGUGUAGGUUUUCCUACUAUCAUCAUUAAGGGUCUUUGUGUGUCAUCUACACUUAGGUUCUUAGUCAUUAUAGUAGUUUAUGUCUCACUAUCUAUCCCUUUGUCUUUUGUAAUCUUGUAACGUUAUAUCUUGUUGUUGUGGAAUCCGAAUCUGGUUAUUCUUGUUGUUAUUUUGUUCAUCUCGUUAUUAUUGUGUUGUUGGCUAUUUUUGGGUGUCAAAUACACCCUUGUUUCUUGUAUUCUUGUUAUACUUGACGAAUCCGAGUGAGGUCCCCUUUUGGUCCAUGUUUUUUCUUGAAUUUGUGGACUGUUUGGGGUAUGUUUUGUGCUUUCCCUUGUUUGUCUUGUAUCACCAAGUCACAGAGAAAGUUAUGGCCAACAAGGAUAUCGAGUUUGUUGUCACUGAUCAAAUAGGGAGUUCGGGCAAUGAGAAUUUAAGAGCUAAUGAAGAGAUUUGAAAAUUAAGGCAACAAAUGAUAGAAAUGCAUCGAGCUUGGGCUAAUGGGUUGCCACCUCCUCCAUUUCCCGCUGAUAAUAUGGAAUAUCUUUCUAGCUUGUCUCCAGUGUCACAUACACAGUUUCCUAUUUUUGUUGACACACCACUACAUGCAUCAGGAUCUGCUCCGGGGAAACACUAUCCAAACACUUCCAAUAUUUAUUUCCUCACUCCUCAACACAAAGCUACCACAUGCUCGGCUCCACCCACCGUUCAUGUUUUUGCAGCACCACCCCCACCCAAAGCUCCUACUUUUGAGGUUUGUCCAUAAGUUGUGCCUCCCCAAGCUGUGAGAGAGCCCGUAUUGAAUAUUUUUGCUGAUCAAUAUCAUGCUAUUGAGCCCACAUUUAAGUCGACUAAUCCUUAUGGAUACACUCAUCCGCCUGAAUUUUCUCUUAAUGCCAAAAAGCCUGUUAUGAAGAAGAACAAGAAGAAAUGACCAAAAAAUUGAGAAGUUUGGAACUGGCUAUGAAAAGUCUCCAAGGGCCUGGGGGGUACAAAAGUGUCUCAUAUAAAGAUUUAUGCAUGUUUUCAGGUGUUCAUCUCCCUUUCAAUUUUAAGAUGCCAAAGUUUUAGAAGUAUGAUGGACACGGGGAUCCGGUGGCGCAUUUGAUACGUUAUUGUAACCAACUAAGAGGUGUCGAAGGCAAAGAAGAACUGCUCAUGGCUUACUGUGGUGAGAGUCUUUCGGGUCUAGCCUCAGAGUGGUUUGUUGAUCAGGAUAUUGAUAGGUGGAAUAGUUGAGGUGAUUUAGCUAAUGAAUUUGUGCAACAAUUUCAAUAUAAUAGGGAAUUGAUCCUUGAUGAAAAAUCCCUAACCAGUAUGAAGAAGAAGAAUAUUGAGAGUUUCAGGGAGUACGCGAUCAGAUGGCGUGAACAAGCAUCUAGGGUAAAACCGCCAAUAAAAGAAAGCAAGAUAAUGGAGGUGUUUAUUCAAGCGCAGGAUGAAACAUAUUAUCAACACUUUUUACCUGCAUUAGGCAAGCCAUUUAUUGAGGUCCUCAAAAUGGGAGAGAUGAUAGAGGAUGGAAUUAAGGUUGGUCGCAUUGUUAGUCUUACAACAUUGAAAACGAUUACUCAAGCAAUUCAAAAGGGUUCAGGAAGUGUUGGGGAGACAAAGAAUGAGGAAGAUGCAUCUGCUAUUGUAGUUGGAUAGCGAGAACGGUCAAGAAGACCCCGUCGUAGUUACUCUCAAGUACAAACCCAAGUUCACGCCCAAGCUCCACAUAAUCACUCCCAAAAUCCAUUAUACUCUGCUCCUCCACCUCCAUACCCAGUAUGUAACGCACAACCUUAUAUUCAACCCCCAUCUUACCUACAGUGGAACACACCAACUCCUCAGAGUCAUCCUCUAACUCCACAAACAUACCAAAACCCUUCUAAGCCUGAUUUUCUAUCUAAGUCAAACGAUGAAAUAAGGCAAAAGUCAAGAAAUAGCUUCACACCAAUUGGAGAGUCGUAUGCCAGUUUAUUUCAGAGAUUGGUACAAUGAGGCAUGAUCACUCCUCUCCUUAGGUGCACUCUUAAUCGGCAUUCAAGAAAUUUUGAUCCUAAUAUACGAUAUGCCUAUCAUUCUGAUGCUCAGGGUCAUAGUAUUGAAGAUUAUCGAGAUUUGAAAAGAGAAAUUGAAAAGAUGAUUCAAGAUGGAUUAAUUAUGGUGCAGAACGUUGACAGUGAGGGAAGUUCUAGUCAUGCUGAUAUGCAAACCAGUGGCUAAGUCGUCAAGCUGAGCAAUUGAGAAGUCACCCCUUUCCUUACUAGGAAGAGGUUUGGUAGUUUGUUUUGUCUUCUUUUCUGUUUUCUAAAUUAUUUCAGGGUUGUAGUUCGGGAUCUAUUUUCUUUUGUCCCUUUGUCGUUUAUGUUCAAACUCUUCUAACUUUUAUUUCAACUAAAUGAAUUGUCCCUUUCCCUUUGUGUUUAAAUAUGUGUUGUUUGUUUGUUUUCUUUAUACAGUACAUUUUAUGUUGAUUCUACUGAUAUGACAUGCUAGUAAAAUUUUCAGCCAGAUUUUAAAAUCCAACUUAACCAUGAAACAUUGAAUCAGAGGGCUAAAGUUAGAAAAAAUAUCUGAGGAAAUAGGUAGAGUGCUGAGACAUUUGGUGACAAGUUGAAUCCUUCUUUGAAAAUUAAGGCACUUAUUUUGAGAAUCACAAGAAUAACCCGGUCAUCAAUUAAAAGACAUGUCUUAAUUAGGUCAAAUAGUGGCUGCGUGAACAGAACGAAAAUCAGCUCCACAAAAUCACGAGUCAUUCAAUGUGAGGAAUAUGUAACAAAAGUGGAGUUGUAUGCUAGAAAAGCGCAGAAGAAAUAGUGAUGCACAGACUCAGUCAAAGUUAAUGCUGCAAAAAAUGUCACAAAUGAUCUUUCAUCUUUCACUUCCAUAUUGCAUGAUAUGUAUUUGCAUUUUUAAGGAUUGAUAUGACGAAGACAUUUCAUUCUACUAUCAAAACAUUGUGUCAUCCUUUGUUUACCCCAUUUGAGAUUUAAUCCUCUUUUCUUUCAUACCCAUCUUUAUGAAUCAAGAUAGAGUUAGUAAAACUCAAAAGAAAUGUGUCGAAAAAAAAUGUGUGUCCAAAAGGAAAAAAAAGAGAAGAGUGUUAAAAAUUGGGUCAGAAAAAAAAAUUCCAAAGAGAAAAGAGAAAAAAAAUCAGAAUCAAUCAAAAGAACAAGCUGCCAGAACUAUGCAUGACCUGAUUCUCCUCUCUCGGGGGUGAGAUAUGUAGGCUGCCCUACUAAGGGCUAGGUCCAACCAAAUAAACAAUUUAGAGUCACCCAAUUAAAAGAAACUGGGGCCUGAGUUAAUCCUCAUUAUUUGAGUCGAUUCCAAAAGUUAUAAGUCCUACCCCACUUCAAGUGUCGUUUGGGCCCCAUACAAUCCUUUUUUUCUAACCCUAUCCAAAAGUAAAGUUACAACCAAAGAAAGACCUUCAGAUCAAUCUUUGAGGAUGUUAAGUCUAAGCAUGCAAGGGAUAUGAUGACACAUUUUGGGAACUACUUGUCUUCCUUAGCAUAGGGAAUCAGGAGAGAAGUAAAAAUGAAAGAGUUUCAUUGGUGAAAACCCUCACGAGCACCAUAAGGAUAUGGUAAGUUGAAAAAGAUAAAAAUAAGAGAGUCUUAUCGAUGAAAACUCUCACGGGCACCAUAAGACAACUGUGAGUUAAAGGAAACGAAGAUAAGAGAGUCUUAUUAAUGGAAAACCCUUACAGACACCAUAAGGUAAUGGUGAGCUGAGAGAAAGAAAAAAGCUUGUUGGCGAAAACCCUUUAAGGCGCCACUAGCUGAAUGGGGUCUUAAAUGCAAUUGACCUAAGGAACCAACUCAGUUUCAAGGCUAUUAACUCAAUAACAAUGGGUAGAAAGUUUAGAUGAAAAGAUCAAGCUGCUUAAUCCAAAAUGCAUGGCAUAAUCAUUAGUGUUGACUGUCAUUUUUAGAUGAAUUUUUCAUUUCUUUGUUUCAAAAGGGGACAUUCAUUGUCUUUACUUUCUUCUCUUUAUUUUUAUUUUAUCUUUCUUGAGUCAGUUAUCCAAACAAAAAUUGUUAUUUUUUUUCGUUUCUUGUCUUUAAGUCAAGUCCGUGUCAAAAUAAGUGAAAAAAAAAUUCAAAACUGGCUACCAGCUUCUUUAAUUGCACAAAGCAAGACAAAAUAUAACACAUGAAAGAGCCAUGAUUGUGAGCCAAAAAAGGGAAUGUAGAAAGUUUUGUCAACAGAGAAGUCAGGGAACUCAUGGAAAUACCAAGGUUCAAAGGGUCUAUCUGAGAAGCAUGGCAAAGCAGAGAUACUGUGUUUGUUUUAGUCACUCUUAAUAAUCUGAGUUCGGGUCAAUGAUUCAACAAGUCAAUGAUAUAUGCUAAUGGUUGGAAGCAAUUUUAAAUGUGACGAGGGCAAAAGCGAUCGCCGCGAAAGCUAAAUCCACAAACCAGCUACCAUGUUUUAAACUCACAAGUUUUCUUUGAUGAAACAGGAAAUAUAUUACCUUCAAAGCAAGGACUUCAGAGCAUAAAUAUCAAGGAUUGCAAUACCUCAUUUCUACAAAUGCAGAAUAAUCAAAUCAUGGUAAAAAAUCAUCAUCCUAUAUCCCUCGGAGACACUUUCUUGUACAGGAAUUUCAGUUUUCAUUUGCUAGGUGAUACACUUCUUAAAUUGAAAAUUCACUCCUAGGAGACGUACCUUCUAGUUGAGUUAUUCUUUUUGAUUCCUAUAAGACGUAACUUUUAGUCGAGUCAUUCCCCUUGACCCCUAGAAGACGUACCUUUUAGUUGAGUCAUUCCCCUUGACCCCUAGAAGACGUACCUUUUAUUCGAGUCAUUCUCUUUGAUUCCUAUAAGACGUACCUUUUAGUCGAGUCAUUCCCCUUGACCCCUAGAAGACAUACCUUUUAGUCGAGUCAUUCCUCUUUACCCCUAUAAGACUUACCUUUUAGUUGAGUCAUUCCCUUUGAUUCCUAUAAGACGUACCUUUUAGUCGAGUCAUUCCCCUUGACCCUUAGAAAACGUACCUUUUAGUCAAGUCAUUCCCCUUGACUCCUAGAAGACGUACCUUUUAUUCGAUUCAUUCCCUUUGAUUCCUAUAAGACGUACUUUUUAGUCGAGUCAUUCCCCUUGACCCCUAGAAGACGUACCUUUUAGUCGAGUCAUUCCCCUUUACCCCUAUAAGACGUACCUUUUAGUCGAGUUAUUCUCUUUGAUUCCUAUAAGACGUACCUUUUAGUCGAGUCAUUCCCCUUGACCCCUAGAAGACGUACCUUUUAGUCGAGUCAUUCUCCUUUACCCCUAUAAGACGUACCUUUUAGUCGAGUCAUUUCCCUUGACCCCUAAAAGACGUACCUUUUAGUCGAGUCAUUCCCCUGAUUCCUAUAAGACGUACCUUUUAGUUGAUUUAUUCCCCUUGACUUCUAGAAGACGUACCUGUUAGUCAAGUCAUUCCCUUUGAUUCCUAUAAGACGUACCUUUUAGGCGCGUCAUUCUCCUUAAUUCCUAUAAUGAUGUGACUUUUACAAAAGUCCUUUGAUGAUAAACUGGGGCAAAAUUUAAUUCUUGUUGUUUGGAACUUCACUUUUCUAGCAAAUGAUCUUUUUAUACAAUCUUUGUUUGGGAUAAUUUUCUUUUUAGUUUGAUGUGAUUUCAGGAGCCAGCCUGAAGAACGUGGCGAAUAAAUAAAAAGUCAAGCAACAUGGUGAAGAAGUUGAAAGUCAAGCAACAAGAGGAAGAAAAUUGAAAGUCAACAGUUGAAAAAAACAAGUCAGGAGCCCGCCUGAAGAACAGGGUAAAGAAGUUGAAAACCAAGCAAAAGUUGAAGAAAUUGCAAUUCAGGCGCUCGCCUGAAGAACAGGGUGAUGAAAUUCAAGUCAAGAGUCCAAAAAAAGCUGCACAGAUAGGAUUUUUGUAAUUUCAUUUAUGUUUUAACUUAUAAUUUUCAUUUUUUAUGAAAUAACAGAGCUGCGGACUGGAACCUCGACAGAACCUCGCUCGACUCUCCAACUCGGUAUAGUCCCUCUUCUUUCAGUCCUUGGGGAUACCUGUGACUUGAUUCCCUCAUAACUAGGGAUAAAUAUGAUGUCCAAAGUCAAGACUUAGUUUCCCUCCUUCCUUCUGUUUCAUUCUUUUUGAAUAAUGGUCGGCACAAAAUUCUGUCUCGUUGUCUACUUCUUUGUCAGAAAACACUUCGUGUUUACAUUCAAAGGGGCCAUGCUAUAGACACAUAAUUUUGUCCCUCUCAAGUUCAAUUUUAUUCAUUUUAGCUCACUUUACCACACACCCUCAUCCAUGUGAUUAUACCCCACAAAAAUUAACAAAUGCCUAACCAACCUAAUCCUCAAGAUUCUCUUACUAACAAAUUAACAACCCUCCCUAUUAAAAGUUGACUACACAUCAUCACCCCCACACCCCUUCACCAUUACCUCAUGUGACCCCCUCCCCCUACCUAGCUUUCUUUACAUGUUUUUGCCAAUUCUAUAUAUACAGAAUUCCAAAGGGGGGGGGGGGCACUCACAGAUUCUCUCACAGGAAAUCCCACUCACACCUUCUACAAUAUACCAUCACAUAUAUACACCAUAGGCAUAUAAACAGCUCUGGACGAAAGAGAACCCUCUCAGAAUAACAAUUGACAACACUCAUCCUCACAAUACACAACAAGAUAUACAUAUACACAGACCAAAACUUCAUCAUCUUGAUCAUUUUCCUUUUUCUUUUUUGAAUCCCAUCAGAUGCACCCAAAAAUGGCACACACCAGUCAAAAUAUUUGAGAGGUAGAGUCUCGAUGAGAGAGAGAGUAACGGAGAAAGAGAGAUAAAGAGAUCGAGGUGGGAGAGAUUUGAGAUAAAAAGAGAUCAGGGAGGGAGAGAUUAGAGAAAAAACAAGGAAGAAAUAUGCAAAAGGAAAUUUGGACGAGUUUUUACCAGAAAAUUUCGUCGCCGCUAGUCGCAUUCUUGAUUCCAGCUACCGCGGAGCUUGCCGGAGAUUCGGUUAAGCUGUCAGUCCUAUCCCAUCCCAAAACAUUGAAACAACAACAAAAAAUAGUCGGUUAAUCGAUCCCAACUCCAAAAACUCAUCGGGAAAACCAUCGGGUUUGGGUAGAACAGAUCUCGGGGUUGAAAUCUCUAAUUCGAGGUGAAAUUUGACUCGAUUUUGGCCGUUUGGUUGAGGUUCGAUGAGGUCUAGUUCGUGAGCUCCGGUAAGUAGCGGAACCUGAGGUCAAAACAGUCCGCAAAUUUUAGUUUGAAUCGUUGGUCUUUUGGGUAUGUUCGUUUCUUUGGGUUUGAUUGAGUUGUCAGGUCCAUGUUGAGUUCGUUGAAUCGAGGUCUUGAUUCGUGAGCUCCGAAUCCAUUGCUAAGUGUUCGGAAUAAAAUUGAGGUCUAUUUCUCAUCCCAUUUUUCGAUGAAUUUUGAUUGUUUGAUGCCUUAUGUGGUGAAUUGAUAAUGUGUGGAUCUUGCUUUGUUUGAUUUGGUGUUGUUCGGAUCAUGAAUGUUGAUUAAUUGGUCACUUGAAUUGGUUAAUUGGUUGAUAAUGACUUGAAUUCGUUUGAGGUAAAUGAAAUUGGGAUGGGAGUUGAAAGUUGAUAAAGUGCAUAUUGUCGUUUUGAUUCAUUAAUGUUAAUUGAACUUGAUAGUAUCAUGAUAGGUCGAUUGGUUUAGGCAAACAUAG